UGGGGAAUAUUGCACAAUGGAGGGAACUCUGAUGCAGCGACGCCGCGUGAACGAAGAAGGCUUUCGAGUCGUAAAGUUCUUUUAUAUGGGAAGAUAAUGACGGUACCAUAAGAAAAAGCCCCGGCUAACUACGUGCCAGCAGCCGCGGGAAUACGUAGGGGGCUAGCGUUGUCCGGAAUCACUGGGCGUAAAGGGUUCGCAGGCGGAAAUGCAAGUCAGGUGUAAAAGGCAGUAGCUUAACUACUGUAAGCAUUUGAAACUGCAUAUCUUGAGAAGAGUAGAGGUAAGUGGAAUUUUUAGUGUAGCGGUGAAAUGCGUAGAUAUUAAAAAGAAUACCGGUGGCGAAGGCGACUUACUGGGCUCAUUCUGACGCUGAGGAACGAAAGCGUGGGUAGCAAACAGG
RNAcentral lists this ribosomal RNA (403 nucleotides) under bacterium. RNAcentral describes it as "partial 16S ribosomal RNA". It matches the Rfam family "Bacterial small subunit ribosomal RNA", at positions 355 to 776 of the family's 1533-position model. The record is from RNAcentral. RNAcentral also lists the same sequence under 1 other name.